AAAAAACCUGCCUUGCAUAUAUACUCUGGAAUCCCUGCACUUUGGGAUUUUUAUAAAUGGCUUUCAUGAGGACAUGGAAGGGUGGAUUAGUACGUGUGCAGAUGACAUGAAGACAGUAUGGCCUUCACAGAGCCCUGAUCUCAACAUCAUCAAUACUGUCUGGGAUUACCGGGAGAGAUAGAAGCAAGUGAGACACCCAAAGUCUGCUGAAGAACUGUGGCAAGUUCUCCAAGGUGCUUGGAACAACAUACCAGCUGAUUUUCUUACAAAACUGCAUGAGAGUGUACCUAAGAGAACUGAUGCAGCUUUAAAGAUAACACAGAUUUAAUGCAAACCAGGGCCCCUCUCUGCCUUCUCAGCUGAAUGGAAAUCAUCCUGGGACAUUAUUUCAGAGAGCAAAAGCGUUCCCCUUCCACCCCCUUCGGUGUCAUAGCGAAGACUGACCCCUCAGUCCCUGCAACAAGCUACCUUGUCUGCAACACGAGUGAAUCUGCAGAUGCAGGAAAUAAAUAAAAACACAAAAUGCUGGCAGAACUCAGCGGGCCAGACAGCAUCUAUGGGAGGAGGUAGUGACGACGGUUCAGGCCGGAACCCUUCAUCAGGAGUGAAGUAACAUGGGAUGGUCAAGGGGGGAUAAGAAGUGGGGAUUUGCUGAUGAUGUUUUGAUUUAUUUAACAAACCCAUUGCAAUCGUUGCAAAGAUUAUCUUUUAGAAUGGAAGAAUAUGGGAAAGUAUCAGGCUAUAAAGUAAAUUGGGAUGAAAGUGAAAUUUUAUCCCUUACCAAAGGAAAUUAUAAUCAAUGUCAAUUAGCAACUCAAUUUCGAUGGUCAAUAAACGGGAUAAAAUAUUUAGGUAUUAGAGUUGAUAAUGAUGUAAAAAAUUUAUAUAAACAAAAUUAUUUGCCAUUAUUAAAAAGAAAUAAAAGAGGAUCUUGAUAAAUGGAUAAUGUUACCAAUAACAUUAAUAGGUAGAGUUAACACUGUAAAAUGAAUAUAUUUCCUAGAUUGCAAUAUUUAUUUCAAAAUUUACCAAUACAAUUACCUCAGAAGUUUUUUCAAGAACUGAAUAAAUAUGUAAGGAAAUUUCUUUGGAAAGGUAAGAUGUCAAGAAUAUCAUUGGAAAAAUUGACAUGUAAAUUUGAUCUAGGAGGGUUACAACUUCCAAAUUUUAAGAAUUAUUAUAAAGCAAAUCAACUUAGAUUUAUUGCAUCUUUUUUUGAUGAAGAAAAAUCGGCAUGGAUUAAAAUAGAAUUGGAUAAGAUAGGAGAAAAUAUACCAGAAGAUUUUAUAUAUAAAUGGGAAUCCAAAUGGAUACGGGAAAAAAAAGAAUCUCCUAUAUUAAGACACUUGAUUGAUUUAUGGAAUAAGGUAAAUAUAGAUGAUGAGAUAAAGAAAUCUUUAUUAGCAAAAAGAACUUUAAUUCAAAAUAGGCUUAUUCCUUUUACAAUGGAUAAUAAACUUUUACAUAAUUGGUUCCAAAAGGGGAUUAAAUAUAUAGCUGAUUGUUUCGAAGGAGGUAUAUUGAUGUCGUUUGAUCAAUUAAAAAAUAAAUAUAAAAUAUCAAAUAACACUCUUUUCUGUUAUUUUCAAUUAAAAGCCUAUUUACGAGAAAAGCUGGGACAAACAAUGUUGAUGCCAAAACCUAGUGAAGUAGAAAUAUUGAUUCAGAAAGGAAGAAUUAAAAAAUUUACAUCUUGUAUGUAUAAUUUGAUUCAAAAGCAAAUAAUUCAAUUAGGAAUUCAUAAAUCAAGACAAAAAUGGGAAUCUGAUUUGAAUGU
Molecule: long non-coding RNA, 1777 nt
Organism: Hypanus sabinus (Atlantic stingray)
Lineage: Eukaryota; Metazoa; Chordata; Chondrichthyes; Myliobatiformes; Dasyatidae
Exons: 3
Source: RefSeq, a predicted model, not a curated record